This 261-nucleotide ribosomal RNA is filed under the name Bacillus gaemokensis. RNAcentral describes it as "partial 16S ribosomal RNA". It matches the Rfam family "Bacterial small subunit ribosomal RNA", at positions 519 to 779 of the family's 1533-position model. The record is from RNAcentral. Lineage: Bacteria; Bacillati; Bacillota; Bacilli; Caryophanales; Bacillaceae.
GGUAAUACGUAGGUGGCAAGCGUUAUCCGGAAUUAUUGGGCGUAAAGCGCGCGCAGGUGGUUUCUUAAGUCUGAUGUGAAAGCCCACGGCUCAACCGUGGAGGGUCAUUGGAAACUGGGAGACUUGAGUGCAGAAGAGGAAAGUGGAAUUCCAUGUGUAGCGGUGAAAUGCGUAGAGAUAUGGAGGAACACCAGUGGCGAAGGCGACUUUCUGGUCUGUAACUGACACUGAGGCGCGAAAGCGUGGGGAGCAAACAGGAUU